This 279-nucleotide ribosomal RNA is filed under the name uncultured bacterium. Its description in RNAcentral is "partial 16S ribosomal RNA". It matches the Rfam family "Bacterial small subunit ribosomal RNA", at positions 506 to 784 of the family's 1533-position model. The record is from RNAcentral.
UGCCAUCAGCCGCGGUAAUACGAAGGGUGCUAGCGUUGUUCGGAAUUACUGGGCGUAAAGAGCAUGUAGGCGGAUCGUUAAGUGAGGGGUGAAAUCCCAGGGCUCAACCCUGGAACUGCCUCUCAUACUGGCGAUCUGGAGUUCGAGAGAGGUGAGUGGAAUUCCGAGUGUAGAGGUGAAAUUCGUAGAUAUUCGGAGGAACACCAGUGGCGAAGGCGCGAUCCUGGCCUGUCCCUGACGCUGAGGCGCGAAAGCGUGGGUAGCAAACAGGAUUAGAUA